AGAGUUUGAUCACGGCUCACGACGAACGCUGGCGGCGUGCUUAACACAUGCCAGUCGAACGGUGAAGCCCUUCGGGGUGGAUCAGUGGCGAACGGGUGAGUAACACGUGAGUAACCUGUCCCUGACUUUGGGAUAAGCCUGGGAAACUGGGUCUAAUACCGGAUAUGACCAGCCUCUGCAUGGUGUGCUGGUGGAAAGUUUUUCGGUUGGGGGUGGGCUCGCGGCCUAUCAGCUUGUUGGUGGGGUGAUGGCCUACCAAGGCGACGACGGGUAGCCGGCCUGAGAGGGCGACCGGCCACACUGGGACUGAGACACGGCCCAUACUCCUACGGGAGGCAGCAGUGGGGAAUCUUGCGCAAUGGGCGGAAGCCUGACGCAGCGACGCCGCGUGGGGGAUGACGGCCUUCGGGUUGUAAACCUCUUUCACCAUUGGCGAAGGCCAGCAUUUUGUGUUGGUUGACGGUAGGUGGGGAAGAAGCGCCGGCUAACUACGUGCCAGCAGCCGCGGUAAUACGUAGGGCGCAAGCGUUGUCCGGAUUUAUUGGGCGUAAAGAGCUCGUAGGUGGUUUGUCGCGUCUGUCGUGAAAGCCCAUGGCUUAACUGUGGGUUUGCGGUGGAUACGGGCUGACUAGAGGCAGGUAGGGGAGAGUGGAAUUCCCGGUGUAGCGGUGAAAUGCGCAGAUAUCGGGAGGAACACCGGUGGCGAAGGCGGCUCUCUGGGCCUGUCCUGACGCUGAGGAGCGAAAGCGUGGGUAGCGAACAGGAUUAGAUACCCUGGUAGUCCACGCCGUAAACGUUGGGCGCUAGGUGUGGGGGCUUUCCAAGGUUUCCGUGCCGCAGCUAACGCAUUAAGCGCCCCGCCUGGGGAGUACGGCCGCAAGGCUAAAACUCAAAGGAAUUGACGGGGGCCCGCACAAGCGGCGGAGCAUGUUGCUUAAUUCGACGCAACGCGAAGAACCUUACCAGGGUUUGACAUGCACGGUUUAGCCAUGGAGACAUGGUGUCCUUCGGGGCCGUGUGCAGGUGGUGCAUGGCUGUCGUCAGCUCGUGUCGUGAGAUGUUGGGUUAAGUCCCGCAACGAGCGCAACCCUUGCCCUAUGUUGCCAGCACGUUAUGGUGGGAACUCAUGGGGGACUGCCGGGGUCAACUCGGAGGAAGGUGGGGAUGACGUCAAGUCAUCAUGCCCCUUAUGUCCUGGGCUGCAAACAUGCUACAAUGGCCGGUACAGCGGGCUGCGAUACCGUGAGGUGGAGCGAAUCCCGAAAAGCCGGUCUCAGUUCGGAUCGGAGUCUGCAACUCGACUUCGUGAAGUUGGAGUCGCUAGUAAUCGCGAAUCAGCAAUGUCGCGGUGAAUACGUUCCCGGGCCUUGUACACACCGCCCGUCACGUCAUGAAAGUCGGCAACACCCGAAGCCCAUGGCCCAACCCGUGUGGGGGGAGUGGUCGAAGGUGGGGCUGGCGAUUGGGAGGAAGUCGUAACAAGGUAGCCG
This 1490-nucleotide ribosomal RNA is filed under the name uncultured bacterium. RNAcentral's name for it is "16S ribosomal RNA". It matches the Rfam family "Bacterial small subunit ribosomal RNA". The record is from RNAcentral.